UCGAGAGGCUUUGGCAAUGGGGGAAACCCUGACCAAGCGACGCCGCGUGGAGGAUGAAGGCCCUUGGGUUGUAAACUCCUUUCGUGGGGGAAGAAAGCAUUCGGGGCGAAUAGUCCCGAGUGUUGACGGUACCCCAAGAAGAAGCUCCGGCUAACUCCGUGCCAGCAGCCGCGGUAAUACGGGGGGAGCGAGCGUUGUUCGGAAUCACUGGGCGUAAAGGGCGUGUAGGGGGUCGGGUAAGUGGGAUGUGAAAGCCCCGGGCUCACCCCGGGAUCGUCAUCUCAAACUGCUCGGCUUGAGUACAGGAGAGGGUGGGGGAAUUCCAGGUGUAGCGGUGAAAUGCGUAGAUAUCUGGAGGAACACCGGUGGCGAAGGCGCCCACCUGGCCUGCUACUGACGCUGAGGCGCGAAAGCUAGGGGAGCAAACGGG
This 430-nucleotide ribosomal RNA is filed under the name uncultured bacterium. RNAcentral describes it as "bacterial SSU rRNA". It matches the Rfam family "Bacterial small subunit ribosomal RNA", at positions 355 to 776 of the family's 1533-position model. The record is from RNAcentral.